Molecule: ribosomal RNA, 252 nt
Filed under: uncultured microorganism
Description: partial 16S ribosomal RNA
Rfam family: Bacterial small subunit ribosomal RNA
Source: RNAcentral
UACGUAGGUCCCGAGCGUUGUCCGGAUUUAUUGGGCGUAAAGCGAGCGCAGGUGGUUUAAUAAGUCUGAUGUAAAAGGCAGUGGCUCAACCAUUGUGUGCAUUGGAAACUGUUAGACUUGAGUGCAGUAGAGGAGAGUGGAAUUCCAUGUGUAGCGGUGAAAUGCGUAGAUAUCGGGAGGAACACCAGUAGCGAAGGCGGCUAUCUGGCUGGUAACUGACGCUGAGGUGCGAGAGCGUGGGGAGCAAACAGG